Long non-coding RNA from Athene cunicularia (burrowing owl), 106 nucleotides. RefSeq lists it as uncharacterized. The record is from RefSeq and is a predicted model, not a curated record. The transcript has 3 exons. Lineage: Eukaryota; Metazoa; Chordata; Aves; Strigiformes; Strigidae.
AGACGGUGGCUGUUGGCGGUACACAGCAGGAGGCAAAGGAGCUCCACGCAGGACGGGAGACUCCACGGCGUGCCAUGCAGGCCACAAUAAAGGUAUUUAGAGAAUG